RNAcentral lists this long non-coding RNA (3425 nucleotides) under Sarcophilus harrisii (Tasmanian devil). RNAcentral describes it as "lncRNA (ENSSHAG00000026582.1)". The record is from RNAcentral. Lineage: Eukaryota; Metazoa; Chordata; Mammalia; Dasyuromorphia; Dasyuridae.
CACAUCUCCUUUUCACGUUUAUUUCAUUUUGUUUUAAGAUCACAGAAGAGCAGAGCAUUCAUACAUGUAAAGUAACAGAAGAGAGAAACAGAAUUUAAAUACAUUAAAAAGAAAAAGAAAAAAGCUUGUUUUAAUUUUAAUUUUUACACACGUUGCGCUUUUGUUUUUCUCCAUAGAGCUAGUAUAUGGGAGAAAAAAUACCCACCAAAUUAAUUUUAAAAAAAAAAGAAAGAAGAAGAAACUUCAAACAAUAAAAGUCCCAAACCAAAAAAUGAUCAUGUGUUUGUAUUGUCAAGGGAAGUUCAGUUCAUGGCUACAGGGUUGAAAAAAAGGAAUAUAUUUAUAUAUAUAUAUAUAUAUAUUUAUAUGUAUAUAACACUGUUAAUAAGAAUUCUAACCAAUAGCAGGAUUUGUAAACCCUUCCAUAGAGCAAUGAGAAGGGAGAAGGGAGAAGAAGAGGCUUUGUUACAGUACUCCAUUCUCCACAUCAUCUCCUCCCUGUUGGAAUCCCCCCCAGUAAACACUUAGGGAAUGAAACUUGGCAACAAUUCACCAGAUUACUCAGCCUUUUACAUUCUCUGGUGAAGGGUAAAGACUUAUUGGUGGUGGAAUCAGGAAUGGCCCCAGGAAACUGGUAUUAGAUGGUCUGAACUAUGAAGCUAGUAGUUAGAAGUAUUUUCUUCAUUUUCUAGAUGCAGAUUAGAACAUUUCUGCUUGUGUCUUUCUGUAGAUGAAUAAAGGUUGAGGGUAAAAAUGACCAGAAUGGGAAGAACAUCUGAAAUAAUCACAGGGAAUGGAAAUAUUCCCAGUUGGACUGGUAGUUCUCUCAUUUACAAAAUAAUUUUAUAAGUGUUCUAAGGACUUGGGUUAUCUAUAUCUAUAUAAAGUGAUAUUGACAUAUAGAAAGAUAUAGAUACAGACCACUAUUCAGCAUAUAGGUGACUAAGAUUCCAUUGGCUAGUUCUGGCAAUGCAUAGGAAGAUAAGCUAGGGAAAGGUUAAGCUUAGUCUGUUGGGAUGCUGUGGGACAUUAACCUUUGGGUCUAUAUAGCAACGUUAUAGUUAGCUUCCUAAAAGACACAGCCAGGGGACUGAAUGCAAUAUCUAAUUUAACCAAGAUAUUAAGAAACCUUUCUCCCUGCACCUAGAAGCCCAUCUUUCCUUUGCACUUUCCUUAACAUUCUAUUUAAAACCAAAGAACUUGGCUUUUUACACAGUUGAUUUUGGCCAUUUCCUAGAUCCCUCAAAGAUAUAUCACAAUCUCAUUGUCAUUUACCAUCAGCUCUAGUGUCUACUCAAUGAUUUUUCUUGACACUUUAAUCUUUUGCCUGAACGUUUGGAAUAAUAUCUACGCAGUUCUGCUAGACACUUCUAGAAACAGUUUAAAAGUGUGGGCUGAGAAUUUUUUUUUUCUUUUUUCUGCCAUUUGGUUGUUUUUCAGAGGUUGGAGUCCCUAAUACCUUGGAAUGGUUUGUUAAGAAGCUUGAGUUAUACAGGGAAAAGUGUUGGACAACAACAUUCUAAUAAAUGUUCUCUGUCUUUCCUUUUUUUUUUUUUUUAUAAUAAUACAGGGUCACCUGCACCUGCUUGGGACUUGCAUUUUAUAACUAUCAUCUCUAGGAAGAUAUCUAUUUUUAGUAUCAAACAUUUCCUGAAUUUUUAAUGGGGAACUUGAACUUCUUCAGAUUAGAAAGAAACACUUGCAGUUUAUUUCUAAAUUUGAGGACUUGCUUACUUAAAAUAUAUGGAAUACUAAAGUUAUAAGACUACAAUUUGUGGGGUAGUACAUAAUGGGGGAAACAGAUAAGGUCUUUCCCUUUCAUUCUAGGUUAAUUAAACAGUAUAACAGCUUGGUUUGAUAUAUUAAAAAAAUACUUCGGUGCUCUUAGUUAAAUAUCCCAGAUGGGUAACAUCCUCAACAUGCUACCAAAUGAUAUGUCCAGAUAUGACCAGAUGAUCAAAUCAUAAACCAUGUGAAAAUUUUUAUUAGAAGUUUUAGCCUUCCUCACUGCUAUUUGGGAGGAAGUCUGUCAAUGCUUUUAAAGGAUAUGGGAAGAUUCAGAUGAAAAAGGAAAUACUGCCAUUUAAAAUAAGUAGCUAAGCACAGUGCUAUACACAGUGCACAUCCAGUUUAUAAUCAUGCAAUUACAAGUAUCAUAACCUUCAAGAUAAUUUAAUCUAACUACCUCAGUUUUCAGGUAAGGAAAUUGAGGCCCACAGAAGUGAAUAAUUUAACCAAGAUCACACUGCUAAUUACUGAUAUAACCAAGACAACUCUAGGCCAUCAUGUAGACUUGAUUUUUUUUUUUUAAAUACAAUAGUGCUAAUAAUAAACCGAAACUAUUUUUCCGGUCUUGCCUUUGAUGUGCUUUUGUGUGCCAAUUAUUUAGUUGUUGUCAAUGUUUGUAUCUACUUUAGCAAAGAAAUCAGGUGCUUUAUGCAAUCCAAUAGUGUCUUUGCCAAAAGGACAAAGAUUCAGAAAUGGGAUUUGAGAGUGGAAUGGUGGGAACAGUUUACUAAGCCAAUUGAAAGCUGCUACUUCCCGAGAUUAAAGAAUAAGACCUUUUCAAGGAUUUUAUUUUAUUUUUUCUUUGGCAACCAGAACAUAGAUCUCUUAUAUGGAGGAUCAGCCUUUUCCUUCAUGAUUACUUGGAAAUUUGAAAGAACAUGUCUCUCCUUUUCCCCUAUUGAAAUAAUUCCAAGGGUUGUUGAGUGAAUGGAUGGAAACAAAAGUAAUUUUUUUUUAACUUAAUCAAGAUAUUUCCAAGAGUCCAUUUAAUUAAAAUGUCUAGAAUACUGAAAUAAGAUGGAAACUUUCAAAAUAGAUAAAGCAGAAACACAGCAGGGAAAAGUAUAAGAUUCUUUCUAAAUCUUUCUUUCUUUCCAAGGGAAGUCAGAAAGUUCUGAUAUUAUAUGAUGUUGCAAAUAACUGAAAUUUGUAAUUUCUAGUCUGAAUGUGUAGACUCAGAGAACAUUAGAGCUAGAAGAGUACUUAUAAAUCACCUAGUUUAACUCACUAAUUUUGCUGAUGAGAAUACUGAGGCACACAGAGGCAAGCUGACAUGGCUGAGGUAAUAGUGUCAAAGCCUGGGCCACUGCUCUUUCCAUGACACUAUUGUGUCUCCUAAAACUGGCCCCUGCACUUGUAGAUUAUGAUGGCUGGGCUGUAUCUAGCGUCUUUGAAAAGAUCAAUAGGAUUAAGCAUUGUAUGAAUAAAGCAAAGCUUUCUCCUACUGAGGGAAUUUAAUCCAUUGAGAGAUUUAGUCUUUCCUUUGACAAUUUCAAAUGGUUUAGUACUAUUUAGCACUGUGGGUUUUUUUUUUUUUUUUUUAAUAUACUUAUAGUAUUACCUGGGCUUGAGUGUGGUAGGAAAAAAAAAAAAAGAAGUUUACAUAGUUUACUUUAUGUACAUAAACUAGUGAUUUA